Molecule: ribosomal RNA, 252 nt
Filed under: uncultured bacterium
Lineage: Bacteria
Description: partial 16S ribosomal RNA
Rfam family: Bacterial small subunit ribosomal RNA
Source: RNAcentral
UACGUAGGGCGCAAGCGUUGUCCGGAAUUAUUGGGCGUAAAGAGCUCGUAGGCGGUUUGUCGCGUCGGAUGUGAAAGCCCGGGGCUUAACCCCGGGUCUGCAUUCGAUACGGGCAGACUGGAGUGUGGUAGGGGAGAUCGGAAUUCCUGGUGUAGCGGUGAAAUGCGCAGAUAUCAGGAGGAACACCGGUGGCGAAGGCGGGUCUCUGGGCAGUAACUGACGCUGAGAAGCGAAAGCAUGGGGAGCAACAGG